UACGUAGGGCCAAGCGUUGUUCGGAUUUUAUGGGCGUAAAGGGCGCGGUGGCGGCUUGACAAGUUACUUGUGAAAUCUCCGGGCUUAACUCGGAACGGCCAAGUGAAACUGUCAUGCUAGAGUGCAGAAGGGGCAAUCGGAAUUCUUGGUGUAGCGGUGAAAUGCGUAGAUAUCAAGAGGAACACCUGAGGUGAAGACGGGUUGCUGGGCUGACACUGACGCUGAGGCGCGAAAGCCAGGGGAGCAAACGGG
This 252-nucleotide ribosomal RNA is filed under the name uncultured bacterium. RNAcentral describes it as "partial 16S ribosomal RNA". It matches the Rfam family "Bacterial small subunit ribosomal RNA", at positions 524 to 776 of the family's 1533-position model. The record is from RNAcentral.